Molecule: ribosomal RNA, 253 nt
Filed under: uncultured prokaryote
Description: partial 16S ribosomal RNA
Rfam family: Bacterial small subunit ribosomal RNA
Source: RNAcentral
UACAGAGGUCCCAAGCGUUGUUCGGAUUCACUGGGCGUAAAGGGCGCGUAGGCGGCCACGCGUGUCUUUCGUGAAAUCCCUCGGCUUAACUGAGGACGUGCGGAAGAAACUGCGAGGCUUGAGUCCGGGAGAGGGGGGUGGAAUUCCCAGUGUAGCGGUGAAAUGCGUAGAUAUCGGGAGGAACAUCAGUGGCGAAGGCGGCUACCUGGCCCAAUACUGACACUCAGGUGCGACAGCGUGGGGAGCAAACAGG